AUGGGUUUAUUAUCUUGACAGUUACGAUCUAUGAUAAAUUGUUUAAUAAUUAAAUUUAAACAUGUAAUAUUAUUCUCAUCUAAGUGCAAAAAGAACACAUCUAUAUCAGGUUGUCAACUUGUUGCCGUUGUUUACACGGUUAAAUGGCAUUAUGGGAAUUCUUACUUAUCCAUGUGAGCAUUUUGUAGGUUAACACAAACAUGAAAUUUUGUUCAACAUUUUGGUGUUUUUAACUGGAAUAUUAGGUAAAUUGAAUUGUUGAUCCAGGAAUCCGAAGCGUUAUCACAUGAGAUGUUUUCCUUGAAAAAUAACUUGUUGCUAGGUAUAAUGACAUUUUUGUGCUUUAACGGUUUUGAAUAAAAUAGGGAACUGAAAUGUCAGCUAUAGAAGGCACCACAGCGUUUCCACGUGUGACAUUUCCCUUAAAAAAUCGAUUAUUUUUACGUAUUAUUAACCAUUUUGAACGACGUAGUUCAUUGAGCUACCCUUUUGAUUGUGGGACACCCCAUAUUGAAAAUUAUUGCUGUAAUUAUUGCAGUUUCCAAACAGAACUGAUACUCUUUUUCAAACAGCAUUUAGAAAAAAAGCUAAAUACCCGACUUCUUUAAAGUUGCACAUAAAUUUGCAGCAUGUUGCGGAAGAAAAUAUUGAAUGGUAUAAAUGUGAAAAGUGUCCUUUCAAAACUAAAUACGAACCAUGUUUAACCAUUCACACAAAUCGAGCCCAUUUAAGUCAAAACGACAAUCAAGAAGUCAGUAAUUUGCAUCAAUGCGAAAAGUGCCCAUUCCUAACUUUUAAAAGCAAGAAUUCUUUAAAAAAUCACGUAAUUUCACAGCAUUUAUAUACAAAGAAUAUUAGAUGUGAAAAGUGUCCAUUCGAAACUAGACGUCCAGAUUCUUUAAAACUGCACAUACUUUUGCAGCAUGGUGAUGGUGCCACAUAAAAUAGCGUUAAAACUUUUAAUGUGAUAAGACUGAGGAACCUUACAGAGAUAUAGCAAAAUCGCCAAACAGAUGCCGUGGAAUUUGAAUAAAUAGCCACUAUUAAUACGUGAUAAAGCGCCUUUAUUAAUGCAUCUAUUUGGUGUUUUAUUAUUAAUCUGUUACUUGUUCUACUAUGUUUCUGUUAAUAAACAAUAAAUAUACAAACUUUCCUAUCCUUUGAAACACAAUCAAGCAACCCCAGUUUUUGGAUAAAUUAUAAAAGUUGGUUCUACAAAUUCGAUUUUUUGCGUAUUGUGUGGCCUACAUAUCUAAAUAGAAAAUAUGGGUGAAUCAAGGACGUUGCAAUCUUCGUUCUCUUCCAAGCAUCUCAAUCUAUUUCUGUGUGAAGCAAAAAUGCUAUUAUAAUGUGGAAAUUUGAAAUAAUUGUGUUGUUUCCUGCACGGUUGAACCACUAUGUUUGUAAAAUCAGUUGUUUUUACUAAUCUUGCAUCGUUGCAUAUUAAGUGGAAUCUUAUAUUUUAUGAUUCGCCCAUUGAAUGUCCUGUUUUGAAAAUGGAAAGAUUAAAUCGAUUUGUUGGUUUCAAAAUGAUAAAUCAAUUCAAAUCAAUUUUCUUAUUAAAAUUUUGUUGAAAAAUUUCAUCGGAUGCCAAGUUUUUUGCAAACCAGGUGGGUAGUGUAAUUCCUUGUUCUAGGAAGAUUAGCUAAUGGAAUAAUCCAUUCUCCGAAUUGAUGUUAGUUUUGACAGGUGACUUUCUUGCUCUUUUGCCGUGUAAUUUAAGUGGACAUUAAAACAGAGUAACGAAUCAAAAAUAAUACUGUUACGAAAUACAUCCUUACGACGCCAAUAGGCUACCGGAAGUCUCGAUUGCGGGGUCUAGAAAAAAAAACCUAGAUGCGGCGUUCGUGAUUCAUCUAGAGAAAUGCAGGGAUUUAAAUAAAGACCACCGUCGGGAACCAGAUGGAGAAGAAGUCGUGUCCAGCGAGUGAACGAAUUCAUUUAAGUUGCACCACGAAGUUAAUUUGUACAUAAUCGCUGUAAUAGUUUUGUCGUGUAAAUCGAGUUAUUAAGAAAUAAAUUGUUGAGUUUUA
Zophobas morio is the source of this 2033-nucleotide long non-coding RNA. RefSeq lists it as uncharacterized. The transcript has 3 exons. NCBI's taxonomy places the organism in Eukaryota, Metazoa, Arthropoda, Insecta, Coleoptera, Tenebrionidae. The record is from RefSeq and is a predicted model, not a curated record.